This 449-nucleotide ribosomal RNA is filed under the name uncultured bacterium. RNAcentral describes it as "bacterial SSU rRNA". It matches the Rfam family "Bacterial small subunit ribosomal RNA", at positions 328 to 794 of the family's 1533-position model. The record is from RNAcentral.
UUUCCAGACUCCUACGGGAGGCAGCAGUGGGGAAUAUUGCACAAUGGGGGAAACCCUGAUGCAGCGACGCCGCGUGAGUGAAGAAGUAUCUCGGUACGUAAAGCUCUAUCAGCAGGGAAGAAAAUGACGGUACCUGACCAAGAAGCCCCGGCUAACUACGUGCCAGCAGCCGCGGUAAUACGUAGGGGGCAAGCGUUAUCCGGAUUUACUGGGUGUAAAGGGAACGUAGACGGCAGCGCAAGUCUGGAGUGAAAUGCCGGGGCCCAACCCCGGGACUGCAUUUGAAACUGUCAGGCUGGAGUGCAGGAGAGGUAAGUGGAAUUCCUAGUGUAGCGGUGAAAUGCGUAGAUAUUAGGAGGAACACCAGUGGCGAAGGCGGCUUACUGGACUGUAACUGACGUUGAGGCUCGAAAGCGUGGGGAGCAAACAGGAUUAGAUACCCCGGUACA